This is a long non-coding RNA of Hypanus sabinus (Atlantic stingray), 620 nucleotides long. RefSeq lists it as uncharacterized. The record is from RefSeq and is a predicted model, not a curated record. NCBI's taxonomy places the organism in Eukaryota, Metazoa, Chordata, Chondrichthyes, Myliobatiformes, Dasyatidae. The transcript has 3 exons.
CUAUACUCAAAGGUGUUAAGCAGACAAUUGCUAUUUCCUUUCGUUAUGCAUAUUGCAGAACAGAAAUAAUUUAAUCCAGAAUGCUCAGAAUUUUGGUGGUGCCGGACAGGCAGAUUUUUCAGACCAUUGGAUAUAAUUUUAUUUAAUGUUUAAUUCACUUUUUUUUAAAAGAUGUUGCUCAGUACAGUAAUGUAAAGCUUUUUCUAAUUUCCAGUUUCCAGGGUGGGCAGUCUGAUUCAGCAGAUCAGCACGGAUCAUUUGGGCCAAAGGACGUGGUUCUGUGCUGUAUGACUUUGACCCUGAAGUCUACUCACGACUGUGGUAAAGCCGAGGUUCAGCCCAGUGGCUGAUGGGAGUUCAGAGGCACCAUCCUGUGACCAGUGGCGGGAUCGAGAGGUUUGGAGCUUAGAGUAGUGUCAGACCCAGCCCUUCUUCUGAUGUCCCGUGCCCUUGAUUUGGAAGCUGCAGAUGAUGUGAGCCUGCACCUCUUGCCUUCGCCCCUUCUUACCACCAGCUUGCUCCAUUCUCCUUUCAGAUCUUCACCAUGGACAGAAGGCCUUCCCGUGAGAGGAUACUGGGCUAAUUCACUGAUGUGGGAUUGAGUGGGAAUCAUGUCAGAC